Diorhabda sublineata is the source of this 1861-nucleotide long non-coding RNA. RefSeq lists it as uncharacterized. Lineage: Eukaryota; Metazoa; Arthropoda; Insecta; Coleoptera; Chrysomelidae. The record is from RefSeq and is a predicted model, not a curated record. The transcript is spliced from 3 exons.
GUAAUAAGGUGGUGUUAGAAGUUUUUGGUUUUUGUUCUCUCAAAUAAAGAAUAUUACGGAAAGUCUUUUCACUUCAAUCAAUUUAUCGAUGGAAGUGAAAUCGGACUGACAGUAGACAGCUGUGAAUAAAGUGCAUUUGACCUCUGUUUAUUUGGAAGGUUUAACAUUUAUUAGUAAACGGUACAACUUUCUAGAUAAUUCAAAAAAUGACUAAACUUUUUUCUGUGAUCUUUCCCGGGUUGUGAUAAAUUAAAAACAGCUUUUAUAAAAUAACCUCCAACAAAUUGCACGUAGAAUAGCAAUGAAAGAAAAUAAAUGAAAGAUCCAGAGCAACAGCUCAAAAUGACUAGAAACGGAAAAACUGCAGCCUUCGGAACUGACACAAGCCAUGGAGCCUCGACGUCCAGCUCCUCCGCACAAGGGGUGUACUGUAAGGGGCACCGUAGACAAGAGUCCAUGUAUACAAUGACUGGUCUCUAUUCAUAAACCAUUCCAGAAACGACAGAAAUCGCUGAAACAAAAUGUUCGACGAACUUUUGUCAUGACACAGUUAUUAAAUACCACAGUAGAAAUCCUUCAGCUAGUUUUGAUAGAGAUAAAGCUGCACAUACCGCGACUUACACUGAAACACCUGUGAUAUUAAAAAAUACAAAAGAAUGCGACCUUUUUUCAAUGCUGGCCUUCGCUUUUACAAAAAUAUGCGGAAAUUAAAGAAGAAGACAUCUUGAAUGGAUACGGCUGAUAGGAAUUUAGCAGCAUUCUUCAAGUAUUAUAUAAUUGUAAACACCUGUACAAUAAUAAUAAUACAAUUUGUGGAUAAAUCGAUAAUUCGUCAACUGCAUCGAUGCAUAACGUGUCUACAAUGACAAAAACAUCUUCUGUGGAAGCACCCAAUAUUCGAAGCAAUGUCAACAUAACUCUUUAGUAAUUUUCAACCCUCGACAGUUCAUAAAAGAAUCCUGAUUAAGUUGGAGAUCUCGAAUUGAUAUUUUUCACAGUAUAUGCUACCCAAGUACAUCCGGAACAGUAAAAUGUACUUUGCGAAUUUCUUGUUGCAUCGAAAGGCUUUCUUCAUUUGUACGUUUUACUCUGUCCUUAUACUUAUUGCUGAAAGAUUAUGAAAAAUACAAAUUUAUUGAAUAAAUAGAAGAUGAAUGUAAUUAUUCUGUCGUAAAAACAACUUGAAAGUAAUGUCACAACUACAGAGUAAUUUGAUAACAUCAGUGGCGUGAAAAGUAUAUAUGAAUCAUGAAAAUCGACCCGAUGAAACAGAAAUUAGAAUUAAACAGAAACUGUAGAAAAAGGAAUAAAAAUAUACUAGUGUGUUUAGUGAUUUGUGUAUUUUAAAGUUAGUUUGUGUAAUGCUGUAAAGAACAUUCUAUAAUUUUUCAUUUUUGUUUUAUAAAUUAUCAAAUCAUAAUUAGUUUAAUAUUUGAGAAAAAUAUUUCGAAAUUUUCAAUGAUGUUUCGAAGGCAUUAUUUGGACAAGACAUUCCUUGCAACGAACUAUGCUUUACUUUCUAUCUAUAAAAAUAAAUUGCAUUAAUUUUGAUGAGAAGUGUGUUUUUGAGUCCUAAAAACAUUUCUCCAAAAUUCCUCGGCUAACGAAUCACAACAUGAACCAAAUAAAUUGUUUUAGUUUUUUCCAUACCCAAAUUACUCACUAAUCUAUUUUUGAGUAACCAUUUUAUAGACCUUGAAUGUAAUUGUGAUCAAUAAAGACAUGAAUAAAGAGUUUAUAUCGAAAAGGAGCUAAUAUAGAAUCUUCAAAAUGCAGUGUGAGAAAAUGGAUAAGUCGUAAAAAUCCAUCUUCAUAUAAAGAAUAUCAGCCAAAUAUCAUAUUGUAAAUUUAUUUCACAUUU